This 765-nucleotide ribosomal RNA is filed under the name Triticum aestivum (bread wheat). Its description in RNAcentral is "partial small subunit ribosomal RNA". Lineage: Eukaryota; Viridiplantae; Streptophyta; Magnoliopsida; Poales; Poaceae. The record is from RNAcentral.
AUGGGGGACUCGAGCUUCAAGUUCCUGGAAAGGGUGGAGGGAAAACUCAAGAACUUGCAGCUCUCUGAAGCUGAGAAAAAGGGGAUCAGGAUUGGGAAGAAGCAGGCAUGCUCCUCGCAGGUGAGCAAGCUUCAGGCUGUAGGUAAACUUCUCUCAGAGCGACCGGCUAGAGCAGAACAUGUAGGAAGAUCUCUGGGGGGAGCAUGGAACCCAGCUUUUGAUGUGAAAUGCAAAGAUCUGGGCAGGAAUCGUUUUUUGUUUAUCUUCCAACAAAAGUCAGAUAAGGAUAAGGCACUAGAUGCUGGACCUUGGAGAUUUAACAAUGAUUUGCUGGUGAUGGAGGAUUUUGUGCCGAGUAGAACCAUAGAUGAUUAUGAGUUCAAGUCAAUACUUAUUUGGGUUAGAGCUUAUGGUAUCCCAAUGGGGAUGAUGAGCAGAGAAAAUGGAAUUCUAGUGGGAGAACAAAUUGGUGAAGUUGUUGAUGUAGACCCAGACAUUAAUGGGGAUUUGAUGGGAGUAUUUAUGCGGAUUAAAAUGAAACUAGAUAUCACAGUCCCAAUCAUGAGGUUUGUAACAUUAUUUAUUGAGAAUGAAAUGAAACUCGGGGGAGAUGAUGAAGAGAAAGAAAUGAAGGAAAAGAAGGAAGAAGAGGAAAAGAUUGUCUCAUUCACAUAUGAGUAUCUUCCUGAUGUCUGUUAUAGCUGUGGAAUUAUUGGACACACUGAAAAGUCAUGCCCAACUAGAUCUAGAAGAACAGGGUUGUAA